Molecule: ribosomal RNA, 497 nt
Filed under: uncultured bacterium
Lineage: Bacteria
Description: partial 16S ribosomal RNA
Rfam family: Bacterial small subunit ribosomal RNA
Source: RNAcentral
GAUGAACGCUGGCGGCGUGCCUAAUACAUGCAAGUCGAGCGAACAGACGAGGAGCUUGCUCCUCUGACGUUAGCGGCGGACGGGUGAGUAACACGUGGAUAACCUACCUAUAAGGCUGGGAUAACUUCGGGAAACCGGAGCUAAUACCGGAUAAUAUAUUGAACCGCAUGGUUCAAUAGUGAAAGACGGUUUUGCUGUCACUUAUAGAUGGAUCCGCGCCGCAUUAGCUAGUUGGUAAGGUAACGGCUUACCAAGGCAACGAUGCGUAGCCGACCUGAGAGGGUGAUCGGCCACACUGGAACUGAGACACGGUCCAGACUCCUACGGGAGGCAGCAGUAGGGAAUCUUACGCAAUGGGCGAAAGCUUGACGGAGCAACGCCGCGUGAGUGAUGAAGGUCUUCGGAUCGUAAAACUCUGUUAUUAGGGAAGAACAAAUGUGUAAGUAACUAUGCACGUCUUGACGGUACCUAAUCAGAAAGCCACGGCUAACUACGUG